This 611-nucleotide unclassified non-coding RNA is filed under the name Hevea brasiliensis (rubber tree). The record is from RNAcentral. Lineage: Eukaryota; Viridiplantae; Streptophyta; Magnoliopsida; Malpighiales; Euphorbiaceae.
UAAUGCUUCUAGGUCAUGUUGAAAUGUGUAAACAAAAAAAACUGAGGGUAUGAUCAGUAGAAUAAUGAUAUGUGCCCAAGAAUUCAUUGUUAGCGUCAUAGUUAUUGGUACUUCUCAAUUCAUGAUUCAGAUCUCAAAUGAUCCCAAUCAGGAAUGCAAAAUUAAAAUUGCACAAAACCGUAUUCAAAUCUUAAAUUCUGAUUCAAUUUCACAAUUCUCGUGAUUUGGAAAAUAAAAUAUGUAGAUAUCAUUUUUCUUUACAUUUUAUAAUUGUUUCCACUCUUCCUUAAUUGCAUUCUCAAUAUCUUCCACCUCAGUCCCUGGCUAUUCUUCUUAUAUUUGUCAACUCUCUCUCUCUCUCCCCCUCCUCUUUUUUCAUUUCCUUUUCUUUCUUUUUUUUCUUUAUUCUUCCUUCUUUAUCCAAAAAAUGAGGAUCACUAAAGCCACCAACAACUGAAUACGCUAGUAGUCAAGUUCUAGUUUAUUUUGGAUUCCUUGGUAUUUAGAAGAUCACAUAGGUAAUAGAAAUUCCACCAUUUUGAAGAUAAUAUAAAGUGUGAAAGCGCCAUAGUUCAGUGAAAGAAAAGUUUUACUUGAUAGGUGAAAUUGUG